This 320-nucleotide long non-coding RNA is filed under the name Nicotiana benthamiana. Its description in RNAcentral is "long non-coding RNA (NBEN_LNC040308)". Lineage: Eukaryota; Viridiplantae; Streptophyta; Magnoliopsida; Solanales; Solanaceae. The record is from RNAcentral.
AAAGAUUGUGAAUGUCCUGUUGUUAAUGAAAGAGUCAUGCAUUUAUAGUCUGAAAAUCGGGCAUAAAUAAGGUAAUAAAAUAGUUAAGGAACUGAAUAUCAAUUAAGAAUCAAUCACACAAGACUUCCUUUAAUUAAAAAAUUCAGAUUCAAACGGUAAAAGUUAUUUAAGGAAAGAAAUCAAACGCCCACUUUGUGCAAAGUAAGGCAAUUAGGGGUAAGUACAUAGAAGUUUAUUUUAGGAGCGGGGUUUUGAAAUACCCGAUAUCAUAAAUAAGGUAAGAAAAUCAAUUAAUAGCCAGUAAAUCAAGGAUCAAAGAU